Molecule: ribosomal RNA, 484 nt
Filed under: uncultured bacterium
Lineage: Bacteria
Description: partial 16S ribosomal RNA
Rfam family: Bacterial small subunit ribosomal RNA
Source: RNAcentral
AUUGAACGCUGGCGGCAGGCCUAACACAUGCAAGUCGAGCGGAUGAAGGGAGCUUGCUCCUGGAUUCAGCGGCGGACGGGUGAGUAAUGCCUAGGAAUCUGCCUGGUAGUGGGGGAUAACGUCCGGAAACGGGCGCUAAUACCGCAUACGUCCUGAGGGAGAAAGUGGGGGAUCUUCGGACCUCACGCUAUCAGAUGAGCCUAGGUCGGAUUAGCUAGUUGGUAGGGUAAAGGCCUACCAAGGCGACGAUCCGUAACUGGUCUGAGAGGAUGAUCAGUCACACUGGAACUGAGACACGGUCCAGACUCCUACGGGAGGCAGCAGUGGGGAAUAUUGGACACAGGGCGAAAGCCUGAUCCAGCCAUGCCGCGUGUGUGAAGAAGGUCUUCGGAUUGUAAAGCACUUUAAGUUGGGAGGAAGGGCAGUAAGUUAAUACCUUGCUGUUUUGACGGUACCAACAGAAUAAGCACCGGCUAACUUCGUG